AGUGAACGCUGGCGGUAGGCCUAACACAUGCAAGUCGAACGGCAGCACAGUAAGAUCUUGCUCUUACGGGUGGCGAGUGGCGGACGGGUGAGGAAUACAUCGGAAUCUACUUUUUCUUGGGGGAUAACGUAGGGCAACUUACGCUAAUACCGCAUACGACCUACGGGUGAAAGCAGUGGUUCUUCGCACCUUGGCCGUUUGAAUUAGCCGAUGCCGGAUUAGCUAGUUGGCGGGGUAAAGGCCCACCAAGGCGACGAUCCGUAGCUGGUCUGAGAGGAUGAUCAGCCACACUGGAACUGAGACACGGUCCAGACUCCUACGGGAGGCAGCAGUGGGGAAUAUUGGACAAUGGGCGCAAGCCUGACCCAGCCAUACCGCGUGAGUGAAGAAGGUCUUCGGGUUGUAAAGCUCUUUUGUUGGGGAAGAAAAGCAGUAGGUGAAACCAUGGCUGUCUUGACGGUACCCAAACAAUAAGCACCGGCUAACUUCGUG
Molecule: ribosomal RNA, 492 nt
Filed under: uncultured bacterium
Lineage: Bacteria
Description: partial 16S ribosomal RNA
Rfam family: Bacterial small subunit ribosomal RNA
Source: RNAcentral